RNAcentral lists this ribosomal RNA (246 nucleotides) under uncultured Staphylococcus sp. Its description in RNAcentral is "partial 16S ribosomal RNA". It matches the Rfam family "Bacterial small subunit ribosomal RNA", at positions 524 to 769 of the family's 1533-position model. Lineage: Bacteria; Bacillati; Bacillota; Bacilli; Caryophanales; Staphylococcaceae. The record is from RNAcentral.
UACGUAGGUGGCAAGCGUUAUCCGGAAUUAUUGGGCGUAAAGCGCGCGUAGGCGGUUUUUUAAGUCUGAUGUGAAAGCCCACGGCUCAACCGUGGAGGGUCAUUGGAAACUGGAAAACUUGAGUGCAGAAGAGGAAAGUGGAACUCCAUGUGUAGCGGUGAAAUGCGCAGAGAUAUGGAGGAACACCAGUGGCGAAGGCGACUUUCUGGUCUGUAACUGACGCUGAUGUGCGAAAGCGUGGGGAUC